GAGGGUUAAAUUGUUUUCUUUACGCCGCAGGUUCUAUGGAAGGGGGCUUGCUAAAUUUUUUAUACUUAUCUACUUAAACUAUACUAGUAGGUUCUAUGGAGGGGCUUCCAAAAUUUUCAUGUAUAUCUUUCUUUCUUUUUUGACAAUGUCAGGUAUAAUGAAGAGGGGCUUGCUAAAUUGUCAUAUUCUUCUGGUUUCCUUAAAAAUUUCGGUGACGAGGGGCUUCAUGUAGGUUUCUUAAAGGCAAAGUUGGGUUUGCAUUAUUUGCACAGAAAAUAGUCUGUGAAGAAGGGCCUGCUAAAUUUUCUCUAUUUAUCUCUCCUUAUUCCUCUGGUUUCCUAAAAAAAUCUGUAAGAGGGGCUUCCUUUAGGUUUCUUAAAGGCAAAGUUGGGUUUGCAUUAUUUACACAGAAAAUUGUCUGUGAAGAAGGGCCUGCCAAAUUUUCUCUAUCUCUCUCUCCUCAUUCCUCUGGUUUCCUAAAUUUUCUCUAUUUAUUGCUCUUUAUUCCUCUAGGUUUCUAAGGCCAAAAAUAAGGUUUGCAUUGUUUGCAGUUUGCAGUUUGCACUACAAAUUAUCUGUAGAGAGCAAGGGUAAGAGAUAUAGAUAAUUUGUUUGCACUACAAAUCACUUCAGCAGGAUUAAAGUAAUGUCACAGACAACUCGUUUCCGACUUACUGGCAUUGACAACUUUUCAAAGCAAAAAGCAAAGGUUGAGAAACUGAAGGAAAGCAUGUCAGGGAUUGCUGAUGUUAAUUUGGGCGAAGAUAGAUGGGUUACAUUCGUGCAUGAUCCCAGUACAGCUGAUGCACAAAACAUAAGAAAACGUCUCGAAGCUAUGAAUUUGCGUCCCAUUGAGACUCGAAUUAUAAACAACUGAUGAUUAAGGGAUCAAUGAUGGAUAUGGAUAUUCUUUUAAAUAUAAAAUUAUCAUAUGUAAUAAAUGGUAAAAUAUAAAAAAUGAUUUAGUAAUUGAGCAUGUUUUAAUAGUUGUUAUA
Long non-coding RNA from Cryptomeria japonica (Japanese cedar), 995 nucleotides. RefSeq lists it as uncharacterized. The record is from RefSeq and is a predicted model, not a curated record. The transcript has 3 exons. NCBI's taxonomy places the organism in Eukaryota, Viridiplantae, Streptophyta, Pinopsida, Cupressales, Cupressaceae.